GUUUGACCUGGCUCAGAUUGAACGCUGGCGGCAGGCCUAACACAUGCAAGUCGAACGGUAACAUUUCUAGCUUGCUAGAAGAUGACGAGUGGCGGACGGGUGAGUAAUGCUUGGGAACUUGCCUUUGCGAGGGGGAUAACAGUUGGAAACGACUGCUAAUACCGCAUAAUGUCUUCGGACCAAACGGGGCUUCGGCUCCGGCGCAAAGAGAGGCCCAAGUGAGAUUAGCUAGUUGGUAAGGUAAAGGCUUACCAAGGCGACGAUCUCUAGCUGUUCUGAGAGGAAGAUCAGCCACACUGGGACUGAGACACGGCCCAGACUCCUACGGGAGGCAGCAGUGGGGAAUAUUGCACAAUGGGGGAAACCCUGAUGCAGCCAUGCCGCGUGUGUGAAGAAGGCCUUCGGGUUGUAAAGCACUUUCAGUUGUGAGGAAAAGUUAGUAGUUAAUACC
Molecule: ribosomal RNA, 451 nt
Filed under: HMWdDNA-degrading marine bacterium 56
Lineage: Bacteria
Description: bacterial SSU rRNA
Rfam family: Bacterial small subunit ribosomal RNA
Source: RNAcentral